GAUGAACGCUAGCUACAGGCUUAACACAUGCAAGUCGAGGGGAAACGACAUCGAAAGCUUGCUUUUGAUGGGCGUCGACCGGCGCACGGGUGAGUAACGCGUAUCCAACCUGCCCAUCACUUGGGAAUAACCUUGCGAAAGUAAGACUAAUACCCAAUGACAUCCCACGAAGACAUCUGAAUGGGAUUAAAGAUUUAUCGGUGAUGGAUGGGGAUGCGUCUGAUUAGCUUGUUGGCGGGGUAACGGCCCACCAAGGCAACGAUCAGUAGGGGUUCUGAGAGGAAGGUCCCCCACAUUGGAACUGCGACACGGUCCAAACUCCUAUGGGAGGCAGCAGUGAGGAAUAUUGGUCAAUGGGCGAGAGCCUGAACCAGCCAAGUAGCGUGCAGGAUGACGGCCCUAUGGGUUGUAAACUGCUUUUAUAAGGGAAUAAAGUGGGUCUCGUGAGACUUUUUGCAUGUACCUUAUGAAUAAGGACCGGCUAAUUCCGUG
Molecule: ribosomal RNA, 492 nt
Filed under: uncultured bacterium
Lineage: Bacteria
Description: partial 16S ribosomal RNA
Rfam family: Bacterial small subunit ribosomal RNA
Source: RNAcentral